AUGUUAUCCUUGGAAUGCUUUUAUGUGUUAUUUGGCCCUAGGGGCAUUUUGGUAAAUUGGCCUUUUGGAUUAAUUGCAACAAAAAUGAAUUAUUUUACAUUUUAGAAAUAAAAUUCUGGGUUAUUUUCUCAGCUCUUGGCUGAACCUUAUUCUCCCUCUCCCUUCAAUCUUUUCACUUCAAAUCUUCCUCUCUUGUGUGUUGUUGAGCUUGUUGGAGCUUGGGGGAUUUUGGUGUGCUUUGAUUGUGAGAACUUUGAGGAUUACCGGCACUUGGUCAGGAGCACCCGGGGAUUUGAAAUCUCCAUAUUUUUGGGACAUCAGGAAAGGGUAAAUCUAUCUCUGAUCAGCCAUGAGUAUGGGAGUUGGGCGAUGUAUGUACAUGUUUGGGUUACACUAGACCAAGCAGGUUGGGGUCUACCAACGUUGAAACUUUUGUAACUCUAUUUCGCCGCUUAGGUCGGCUAAGGAGAAAAGACUUGUAAUAUUUUGUAAAAUGAUUUUUGGGAUCCCGAAACAUGUAACUUUUGUUUGUAAGGUUAAAAUUAUUACAAGUUUAUUUUCA
Molecule: long non-coding RNA, 562 nt
Organism: Cannabis sativa
Lineage: Eukaryota; Viridiplantae; Streptophyta; Magnoliopsida; Rosales; Cannabaceae
Exons: 3
Source: RefSeq, a predicted model, not a curated record